This 332-nucleotide ribosomal RNA is filed under the name uncultured prokaryote. RNAcentral describes it as "bacterial SSU rRNA". It matches the Rfam family "Bacterial small subunit ribosomal RNA", at positions 26 to 352 of the family's 1533-position model. The record is from RNAcentral.
AGGACGAACGCUGGCGGCGUGCCUAACACAUGCAAGUCGAACGGGGUCCAUCCGGUGGCAACACCGGAGAAGACCCAGUGGCGAACGGGUGCGGAACACGUGAGCAACCUGCCCCGAAGAUCGGGAUAACGGCGGGAAACUGCCGCUAAUACCGCAUACGACCGAGAGGUGAAAGCGGGGGACCGAAAGGCCUCGCGCAGCAGGAUGAGCCGAUGUCCGAUUAGCUGGUUGGUGGGGUAACGGCCCACCAAGGCGACGAUCGGUAGCUGGUCUGAGAGGAUGAUCAGCCACACUGGGACUGAGACACGGCCCAGACUCCUACGGGAGGCAGC